Molecule: ribosomal RNA, 920 nt
Filed under: uncultured Rubrobacteria bacterium
Lineage: Bacteria; Bacillati; Actinomycetota; Rubrobacteria
Description: bacterial SSU rRNA
Rfam family: Bacterial small subunit ribosomal RNA
Source: RNAcentral
AGAGUUUGAUCCUGGCUCAGGACGAACGCUGGCGGCGCGCUUAACACAUGCGAGUCGAGCGAUAACCAUGGCUUCGGCCAUGGGGAGAGCGGCGAACGGGUGAGUAACACGUGAGUAAUCUGCCCUCGACACUGGGAUAGCCCGGGGAAUCUCGGAUUAAUACCGGAUAGCCUCUCGAGCUUACGAGCUCGUGAGAAAAGAUGGCUUCGGCUUUCGGUUGAGGAGGAGCUUGCGGCGGAUUAGCUUGUUGGCGGGGUAACGGCCCACCAAGGCGACGAUCUGUAGCUGGUCUGAGAGGACGAUCAGCCACACUGGGACUGAGACACGGCCCAGACUCCUACGGGAGGCAGCAGUGGGGAAUCUUGCGCAAUGGGCGAAAGCCUGACGCAGCGACGCCGCGUGAGGGAAGAAGGCCUUCGGGUUGUAAACCUCUUUCAGGAGGGACGAAGCCACUCGGGUUAAUACCCCAGAGGGUGACGGUACCUCCAGAAGAAGCCCCGGCUAACUACGUGCCAGCAGCCGCGGUAAUACGUAGGGGGCAAGCGUUGUCCGGAUUUACUGGGCGUAAGGGGCGUGCAGGCGGUCUGUUAAGUCUAGGGUGAAAGCUCCCGGCUCAACUGGGAGAGGUCCUUGGAUACUGGCGGACUUGAGGGAGGCAGAGGAGAAUAGAAUUCCCGGUGUAGUGGUGAUAUGCGUAGAUAUCGGGAGGAAUACCAGUGGCGAAGGCGGUUCUCUGGGCCUUACCUGACGCUGAGACGCGAAAGCGUGGGGAGCGAACCGGAUUAGAUACCCGGGUAGUCCACGCCGUAAACGAUGGAUGCUAGCCGUUGGCAGGUUUACCUGUCAGUGGCGCAGCUAACGCAUUAAGCAUCCCGCCUGGGGAGUACGGUCGCAAGAUUAAAACUCAAAGGAAUUGACGG